CGCGGCCUAUCAGCUUGUUGGUGGGGUAAUGGCCUACCAAGGCGACGACGGGUAGCCGGCCUGAGAGGGUGACCGGCCACACUGGGACUGAGACACGGCCCAGACUCCUACGGGAGGCAGCAGUGGGGAAUAUUGCACAAUGGGCGCAAGCCUGAUGCAGCGACGCCGCGUGAGGGAUGACGGCCUUCGGGUUGUAAACCUCUUUCAGCACGGAAGAAGCGAAAGUGACGGUACGUGCAGAAGAAGCGCCGGCUAACUACGUGCCAGCAGCCGCGGUAAUACGUAGGGCGCAAGCGUUGUCCGGAAUUAUUGGGCGUAAAGAGCUCGUAGGCGGUUUGUCGCGUCUGCUGUGAAAGCCCGGGGCUUAACCCCGGGUGUGCAGUGGGUACGGGCAGACUUGAGUGCAGUAGGGGAGACUGGAACUCCUGGUGUAGCGGUGAAACGCGCAGAUAUCAGGAAGAACACCGAUGGCGAAGGCAGGUCUCUGGGCUGUUACUGACGCUGAGGAGCGAAAGCAUGGGGAGCGAACAGGAUUAGAUACCCUGGUAGUCCAUGCCGUAAACGUUGGGCACUAGGUGUGGGGGACAUUCCACGUUUUCCGCGCCGUAGCUAACGCAUUAAGUGCCCCGCCUGGGGAGUACGG
RNAcentral lists this ribosomal RNA (643 nucleotides) under uncultured bacterium. RNAcentral describes it as "bacterial SSU rRNA". It matches the Rfam family "Bacterial small subunit ribosomal RNA", at positions 232 to 885 of the family's 1533-position model. The record is from RNAcentral.